RNAcentral lists this ribosomal RNA (242 nucleotides) under uncultured bacterium. Its description in RNAcentral is "partial 16S ribosomal RNA". It matches the Rfam family "Bacterial small subunit ribosomal RNA", at positions 89 to 334 of the family's 1533-position model. The record is from RNAcentral.
CGGCGAGUGGCGGACGGGUGAGUAACGCGUAGGAAUCUGCCCAGUAGUGGGGGACAACUCCGGGAAACCGGGGCUAAUACCGCAUACGCUCUACGGGGGAAAGCGGGGGAUCUUCGGACCUCGCGCUAUUGGAUGAGCCUACGUCCGAUUAGCUUGUUGGUGGGGUAAAGGCCUACCAAGGCGACGAUCGGUAGCUGGUCUGAGAGGACGAUCAGCCACACUGGGACUGAGACACGGCCCAG